AUUUGUUUGCAAUUAUGUAUACUAUCAUUCCUUGCGGUUUGCGGAGCAGAAUGGAAUUAAAUCACUAUUUGUACAUGUUCCCCUGUUCUUGACUAUUAAUAAGGAGACUCAAAUGCAAUUUGCUGCUGCUUUAUUGGAGUUACUUGCCUCUUUAUAUUAGAUCUUAUGCUGUCUUCUCAAAAUGUUUAUUGCUGGAGCAAUAUUUGAAAUGCAAUUUGCUGCUGCUUUAUUGGAGUUACUUGCCUCUUUAUAUUAGAUCUUAUGCUGUCUUCUCAAAAUGUUUAUUGCUGGAGCAAUAUUUGAAUAUGGACGUAAGAGUCUGUGGAGUACCUUAAAUAAAAAGUAAAUGCAAAUUGUAAAAUUUAUC
Molecule: long non-coding RNA, 367 nt
Filed under: Olea europaea (common olive)
Lineage: Eukaryota; Viridiplantae; Streptophyta; Magnoliopsida; Lamiales; Oleaceae
Description: long non-coding RNA (OEUR_LNC006253)
Source: RNAcentral